Long non-coding RNA from Hemicordylus capensis (graceful crag lizard), 2605 nucleotides. RefSeq lists it as uncharacterized. The transcript is spliced from 6 exons. The record is from RefSeq and is a predicted model, not a curated record. Lineage: Eukaryota; Metazoa; Chordata; Lepidosauria; Squamata; Cordylidae.
GUGGCGGUGGGGGGCGGGCAGAAGUGGCAGUGUGGAGGAGAGGUGGCUGGGCCCAGAAGCAAAGACUGGGGCAGAUGGGGCAGGGGAGAGGUAACUGCCGGCCCCAAAGAGCACAUAGAUGCUCUUUGCGGGGUUGACUAGUUAUUAUUUUCCAUUCACAAAGCAAGAGGCACUAGAUUAUUUACAAUAAAUCUUACCAUGACCUUAGCAUUCAAUCUUAAAAAUUAUAAUUAUAAAAGAUAUGUAAGAGCACGGAGGAAGAUGAAAUUACCAUCAACAGAACAGGACCAGGAGACGGCACUUAUAAGCAGCUCCUUGCAAACUACUGCUUGGGGAAAUUAUUCUAAAUUGCCAAACCACAGUUAGGGAACUUUGUCUGAUGGAGGUUGUGACAGGUGCAGUAAUCCAGAAGUCAAGAUACUUUCCCAGGCCUUUUACAGAAAAAAACUGUGAGAGGGAAGUCAUCCAAUUAUACCCAAACCAGGAGAUCAUUAUAUGGGUAAAUAAAGCCAACAGACUCUUGGUCAUCUGAAACAAGACAGUGAUUCAGUUUGCUUGGGGAAGGUCCCAGCUGAGGAGGCAGCCUUUAAUCAAAACUUUCAGAAGAUGUGGGACUGUCCUCAGUCCCCCAGACUAAUAGCAACAAGGCAACAUACUUCAGUAGCUGAACAAACUGAAACCUGCUAUAUGUACCUAUGAUUAUGAACAGAUCCAGUGCUGGGAACACCCCAGGUUCAGGAGCUAUUUUGACUGAUCUAGUUCUUGUCUGCUGAGCCAUCUGCUAUGAUGCUCAAAUCAACACUGAUGUGUUCCUGCCUCUCCUUUACCCAGUGUAAACAGAGAAUCUUUUUUAGCAGUGGGAAGUGACCCUUUGACACAGGGCUUGGAUGAAAAAUUGCCCGUUAUGAUUAGAAUGUGAUUCAUCCAGUUCAUGUAGGCAAAUUCCAGCAGAACUACAUGUAUGGCUCUUAGAUGCUGGUCUCAUUGAAGACUCUUCUAGUGACAAUAUCACUUAAUCACAGUGAACACCAAAGAAGCAUGUUGGUGGUCCCUGCAAUGCAAUGGGGAUUUUCAAAUGUCUGUCCCCUUGAGAGAGAAGACUGUGGCCAAAACAGAGACCUCAAAAUUUGCAAAAGGAACCUGGAGGAAUUUGUUCUGACUCACUGGAAUCUCUAACCAAAACCACAGGAGAUGGACUGAAGAUGCCUGGUUUGCAUUCUGAACCACAGUAGAGAGCCUAUGGCUGUCACCACAGUAGCCUUCCUAGGGUUAAUAACUUGGAAAACCUACUGUGCCUUACUGAGGUGGUGAGGAUGAAAACUGCUGGUUGCCUCUCUUGAAAGACAAAGGCAUGGAUCCUCAUCUGACUGUUCUGGCUAUUGCUCUUGUCCCUUUGGAUUAGAAAGCCAUGUUCCCUAAGAGCCUGAACUGUGAUGUCUAAAUCCUGAAGAACCUGACAAUUCGGUGGACAAUGAAUCGAGGAUUAUUAGACAAGGAAAUAUAUUUUUCUCUUUCUGAAAAUGAUGAGCCAAAAGAAUCAGCAUGAUCUAAUAAAGACCAUGGGGACUGAGAUGAGCCUGGACAAGAGUGGUCAGAACUGAAACUAUGGGUUCCCUUAGGAAAGCAUGGGAAACUGUAAUAACAAAGACUGGUUGGGACAAAUAGAGAGACCUUAAACAAAAUUUCCUGAGGUCAGGUCAUCUCCCCUCUUUGUCCCAGAUUGAAUGAAGAGUCUCCAUUCUAAAUUUUUCUUUAAUGCAUGCUGAUCUUUAAGUUCACAAUGGAUUGGACAUUGACUUGUUGAAAACAGUGAAGAAAACUGAGAUGAUUCUCUGUUGAAAGGGAAGACUCCUCUAAGACUCAAGUCUGGAGAAGAUGUGACAAUAUGAGACAACUAUGUUUCUCUGGAUAAUGGGACCCUGAAGAAUGGAAAAACCUAUUCCUCAUGAUUCUGAGAUAAUGAAUGACAUUCAACUUUUCCAGGGUUUAGCUUGAUUAUGCAACAGUAGAGAACCUAUCUCUCAGAAUCCUGGAAAACACACACAUACAAAAUACCCAACUAAAAUGGUAUUAAAGACCCACUGGUGUUUAGUGGUCCACUGUCAGACUCCAGUGUAUGCUUGAAGACUCUUCACCCCACAAAUCCCCAAGCAGACUGAACUAUUGCCUCCAAAGAAUGUAUAGGAAAGCAACUAUACUUAAAUUUUAUCCAAACCAACUUUGACUUCAGUCCUGAGGAAAAAAUGUUUUACAUUAGCCAUCAAGUUUGCCUCUCUCCCACAUGCAUAAACUCUCUGGAUGAGCAAACAAGAUUUUUCAGCCUAGUGCUUUUCUAACAAAUUUCAUGUGUAAGCAAAGAAUCACAGUACUUUGUAUUUGUAUGGCUGUGCUGUUCUGAUAAACUGGGAAUGCAAGGUAGUUUCAACAGAUUCACUUCUGCUCCCCAUCUGACUAUUCCGACGAGCGGAGAGGUUUGGUGCCAAACUGGAGACAACUCUCUGGUUCCAGUAAUGUACCAUGAAACAAAAUGAAAAAAAGACAAAUUAGAGCUAUAUUGCAUCAAUUUUAUAUUCUGUUCAAGACAAUAAAAAGCCCCUCACAUUCA